AUGAUGAGGCUAUUGGAAUUUUAUUUUGAGUAACUCAUUCUGAACAAUGAGUGAAAAAUCAGAUGCACUAUUGUAUUUAUAUUGUACAAUAUGUGUCUUUAGUACACAUGCAACAUGCUUAGAAGAACAAACUAGAAAGAAAACAAAACCAACAAAUAGCCAUUUAACUGUGUUUGUGUGGUUUUGGUAGUUUUCAUUUGUUCCUCUCGACUUUCCUGUCUUGUCUCACUUUGCCGUAACACACAUGUGUCACAGAUGCCGCCGAGUAGCACGU
This 274-nucleotide long non-coding RNA is filed under the name Bos taurus (domestic cattle). RNAcentral describes it as "long non-coding RNA NONBTAT025856". The record is from RNAcentral. Lineage: Eukaryota; Metazoa; Chordata; Mammalia; Artiodactyla; Bovidae.